RNAcentral lists this transfer RNA (76 nucleotides) under Sporolactobacillus inulinus. RNAcentral's name for it is "tRNA-Lys". It matches the Rfam family "tRNA". From Rfam's summary of the family: Transfer RNA (tRNA) molecules are approximately 80 nucleotides in length. Their secondary structure includes four short double-helical elements and three loops (D, anti-codon, and T loops). The record is from RNAcentral. RNAcentral also lists the same sequence under 7 other names. Lineage: Bacteria; Bacillati; Bacillota; Bacilli; Caryophanales; Sporolactobacillaceae.
GGGCCAUUAGCUCAGUUGGUAGAGCAUCUGACUCUUAAUCAGAGGGUCGAAGGUUCGAGACCUUCAUGGCCCACCA